CCUACGGGUGGCAGCAGUGGGGGAUAUUGCACAAUGGGGGGAACCCUGAUGCAGCGACGCCGCGUGGGUGAAGGAGCGUUUCGGCGCGUAAAGCCCUAUCGGCAGGGAAGAAGAUGACGGUACCUGACCAAGAAGCCCCGGCUAACUACGUGCCAGCAGCCGCGGUAAUACGUAGGGGGCACGCGUUAUCCGGAUUUACUGGGUGUACAGGGGGCGCAGACGGCAAUGCAAGCCAGGAGUGAAAGCUCGGGGCCCAACCCCGGGACUGCUCUUGGAACUGGAUGGCUGGAGUGCAGGAGGGGAAGGCGGAAUUCCUAGUGUAGCGGUGAAAUGCGUAGAUAUUAGGAGGAACACCGGUGGCGAAGGCGGCCUGCUGGACUGUGACUGACGUUGAGGCCCGAAGGCGUGGGGAGCAAACAGGAUUAGAUACCCGAGUAGUC
This 440-nucleotide ribosomal RNA is filed under the name uncultured bacterium. RNAcentral's name for it is "partial 16S ribosomal RNA". It matches the Rfam family "Bacterial small subunit ribosomal RNA", at positions 338 to 795 of the family's 1533-position model. The record is from RNAcentral.